This 432-nucleotide ribosomal RNA is filed under the name uncultured bacterium. RNAcentral describes it as "partial 16S ribosomal RNA". It matches the Rfam family "Bacterial small subunit ribosomal RNA", at positions 29 to 507 of the family's 1533-position model. The record is from RNAcentral.
AACGAACGCUGGCGGCAUGCCUAACACAUGCAAGUCGAACGAAGCCUUCGGGCUUAGUGGCGCACGGGUGCGUAACGCGUGGGAAUCUGCCCCUUGCUUCGGAAUAACAGUUAGAAAUGACUGCUAAUACCGGAUGAAGUCUUCGGACCAAAGAUUUUCGGCAAGGGAUGAGCCCGCGUAGGAUUAGGUAGUUGGUGGGGUAAAGGCCUACCAAGCCGACGAUCCUUAGCUGGUCUGAGAGGAUGAUCAGCCACACUGGGACUGAGACACGGCCCAGACUCCUACGGGAGGCAGCAGUGGGGAAUAUUGGACAAUGGACGCAAGUCUGAUCCAGCAAUGCCGCGUGAGUGAUGAAGGCCUUAGGGUUGUAAAGCUCUUUUACCAGGGAUGAUAAUGACAGUACCUGGAGAAUAAGCUCCGGCUAACUCCGUG